UUAGACAUUCCCCGCUCCAAAUCCGUGACAACCUGGAGUUGUGCAGAGAGGUGCUCACUCAAGAAGGCAGCAGUGCAGCUGCUUGGGCUAUUGCAGCCGGCAAAGCCAACCUCCUCUCCAGUUUUCUGUGAGAGGGCCAACACCGCUUCUACCUGGACAUUUGUAACACGCUGAUGGAUUUCAAGUCUGCAGCAUUCGGUUGAUAGACAUUGGGCUCCGUGGAAACCCACAGCCUCCAGUGCUGUGCCCAGCUCUGGGCUCCCCAGGACGAGAGAGACGUGGGCAUCCUGGGGAGACCCCCAGUGCCCCUCCCCCACCACGGCGGUUAGAAUGCGACGCUGUGUUGACCCGGCGCUGGCCCGGCAACGGUUCUGUGCCAACAGGGAGCGGCAGGGGGCAGAGCCCAGCUCUUCCCCAGCAGCGAUCCUUGGCACUUGGACGCCCUUUGGGAGUCUCUUGGCUGCCUACUGGGCAGGAUUUGAAGGACCACCACUUUGUCCAGCGUGACAGUUGCACUGUCUUCGUCGGGAUGGGCCAGGUCAACUGCUGUCGCGGGUCCAGGGACGACCCUGAGCCCGAGCAGCAGUGCGUGCCCGUCCCAGCAUCUCACCAGCCACUGCUCCGGCAGAGCCAGGCGAAGGCUGGUGCAGAGCAGCAGCCACCACCUCUUUCCUCCGCCUGCAGCGACGGUGGAGUUGGCCACUCGGCUGGUGAGUUUGGGGAAAACAAGAGCAGGACGGCCCUUCUCUCCUCCUCUCCCAGACAGACACUCGUGCUGCACUGGGGCUGCUGCUCCCUUUUCCGCAGGGCA
Long non-coding RNA from Columba livia (rock pigeon), 811 nucleotides. RefSeq lists it as uncharacterized. The transcript has 3 exons. NCBI's taxonomy places the organism in Eukaryota, Metazoa, Chordata, Aves, Columbiformes, Columbidae. The record is from RefSeq and is a predicted model, not a curated record.